CUGGCCCUGAAUCAAAACUGGCAGUUUUUCGAAGCUGUUGGUUUAAAGCAGGAACCUAAUGUGGUGUCUUUCAAUGGUCUGUUGGCCACUUCAGAACUUUAGAAAUGUAACAGGCGUUACAUCAGGAAGAAACAACU
This is a small nucleolar RNA of Cavia aperea (Brazilian guinea pig), 137 nucleotides long. The record is from Ensembl. NCBI's taxonomy places the organism in Eukaryota, Metazoa, Chordata, Mammalia, Rodentia, Caviidae.